GACGAACGCUGGCGGCGUGCUUAACACAUGCAAGUCGAGCGGUAAGGCCCUUUCGGGGGUACACGAGCGGCGAACGGGUGAGUAACACGUGGGUGACCUGCCCUCAGCUCUGGGAUAAGCCUGGGAAACCGGGUCUAAUACCGGAUAUGACUCCAUGACGCAUGUUGUGGGGUGGAAAGCCUUGUGCGGCUGAGGAUGGGCCCGCGGCCUAUCAGCUUGUUGGUGGGGUGAUGGCCUACCAAGGCGACGACGGGUAGCCGGCCUGAGAGGGCGACCGGCCACACUGGGACUGAGACACGGCCCAGACUCCUACGGGAGGCAGCAGUGGGGAAUUUUUCGCAAUGGGCGCAAGCCUGACGAAGCAACGCCGCGUGGAGGAUGAAGGUCUUCGGAUUGUAAACUCCUGUCGACCGGGACGAA
Molecule: ribosomal RNA, 420 nt
Filed under: uncultured bacterium
Lineage: Bacteria
Description: bacterial SSU rRNA
Rfam family: Bacterial small subunit ribosomal RNA
Source: RNAcentral